This 264-nucleotide ribosomal RNA is filed under the name uncultured bacterium. Its description in RNAcentral is "partial 16S ribosomal RNA". It matches the Rfam family "Bacterial small subunit ribosomal RNA", at positions 793 to 1055 of the family's 1533-position model. The record is from RNAcentral.
GUCCACGCCCUAAACGAUGGCAACUGGGUGUUGGGGAAGCGAUUUCUCAGUACCGUAGCUAACGCGUGAAGUUGCCCGCCUGGGGAGUACGGCCGCAAGGUUAAAACUCAAAGGAAUUGACGGGGACCCGCACAAGCGGUGGAUGAUGUGGAUUAAUUCGAUGCAACGCGAACAACCUUACCUACCCUUGACAUGUCCGGAAGCCCGCUGAGAGGCGGGUGUGCCCGAAAGGGAAUCGGAACACAGGUGCUGCAUGGCUGUCGU